UAUAUAAGCAGCCUACUCCAGGACUUACUUGACUAAAUGCUAUCCAUACACAAUUCAACAGAGAUUCUCAAUCUGAGGUCCACGGAACCCUGAGGAGCCACCAAGUCUUCAUAAGGGGUCCACAAAGGCUUGAAGAAAUGUUAUGAUUUAAAUCUUGAAACAAGAAAUCCAAAGCUGCAAUGCAAGAUAGCCAAUGCAAGUCUCAAAUAGCUAUCAACUCCCUGCCAGCAGUGUUGACAUGGAUUAAGGCAUCUACAGAUUGAUGGCCAAAUGCUAGAUUAAUUCACUUUUUAAGGCUUGAGUUUGUGCCCUCUUUGCACUUGCUGCAGUAGCUGUACUAACUUAGGUUGUUUUUUUUUUUAAGAAACUUCUCAGGAGUUUCUCAAUAAAAAGAUCAGUGAU
Pantherophis guttatus is the source of this 402-nucleotide long non-coding RNA. RefSeq lists it as uncharacterized. The record is from RefSeq and is a predicted model, not a curated record. NCBI's taxonomy places the organism in Eukaryota, Metazoa, Chordata, Lepidosauria, Squamata, Colubridae.